Molecule: ribosomal RNA, 253 nt
Filed under: uncultured bacterium
Lineage: Bacteria
Description: partial 16S ribosomal RNA
Rfam family: Bacterial small subunit ribosomal RNA
Source: RNAcentral
UACGUAGGUGGCAAGCGUUAUCCGGAUUUAUUGGGCGUAAAGAGAACGCAGGCGGUCUUUUAAGUCUGAUGUGAAAGCCUUCGGCUUAACCGGAGUAGUGCAUUGGAAACUGGGAGACUUGAGUGCAGAAGAGGAGAGUGGAACUCCAUGUGUAGCGGUGAAAUGCGUAGAUAUAUGGAAGAACACCAGUGGCGAAAGCGGCUCUCUGGUCUGUAACUGACGCUGUGGUUCGAAAGCGUGGGUAGCAAACAGG